Long non-coding RNA from Brachypodium distachyon (stiff brome), 565 nucleotides. RefSeq lists it as uncharacterized. The record is from RefSeq and is a predicted model, not a curated record. NCBI's taxonomy places the organism in Eukaryota, Viridiplantae, Streptophyta, Magnoliopsida, Poales, Poaceae. The transcript is spliced from 2 exons.
GGGCUUUGGGUUUGGUUGGGCCCUGUGGCUCUGCCUCCUCGGCCCUUUUAUAUACCCGCGCCGCCGGCCGCUCCCGUUUCGUUCGAGGAGAAGGGAUGGGAACUUGGCGGCAGAGUUUGAGUUUGUGUCGAGCACUAGAGUUGGAUGCUUUGUUUGUGGUUUAUUAUUACUACCAAGGUCGCAUACAGCUCCACGGGGUACUCACACUUUUCUUUUUUGUGUGUGUGAGAGAGAGGAGGUACUACAAGACAUUGGGCCGGCGUAUACAGCUCCACCGGGGUACACGCCGCAUACAGCUCCACCGUGCGUAUACAGCUCACCGUGUUUGCACAGAACAUUGGGCGAGACAAGGUUCCCAAUGCAAACCACUCAAACUGUCGGAAGCGAACAACAAUACCAAACUACUGAACAAUCAUGUAAAGCUGAAAUAAAUUUGUAGACAUUUUGAAGAGAAGUGUGUACAAAAGGUUCGAUGGAGUGGGACCAAUUUGAAACAAGCUGUUACAACUACAACUUAGACCGAGCUUACAGCCAACUAUACCGAAAAAUGUCCUCUGCUGAAAAA